This 386-nucleotide long non-coding RNA is filed under the name Equus asinus (donkey). RNAcentral's name for it is "lncRNA (ENSEASG00005024393.1)". The record is from RNAcentral. Lineage: Eukaryota; Metazoa; Chordata; Mammalia; Perissodactyla; Equidae.
CAGAGUUGCUGUCGGGAGGUUGUCGCUGCUGUGUGCUGGAGGGCUGCGGAGGUGAUGGGCGGCCCGGGAGGGUUUCUUGGUGUCUCUGUGGAGUCCCUGGGCCAGACCCCAUAGCGAAGGCUGCAGGAUCUUCUCCGGCCCCAGCAGCUCUGGUUGAGUCCACAGACCCUGCCUGGCCUCAGGCUCCUGGGAAGAGCAGAGUUGUCAGCAAGAGAGCCCGAGGGCUGAGGCCCAGCCGGAACAUGCCAGCUAACCAGAAUUCUCCCGGGCCAUCCCUGGCCCUGACUGCAGGGGGACGUGACAACUCCUGUGAGGAGUCUGGAAAGUCUUUAACAAAUAGCAGGUAAAUCUGAACAAGACCAAGGCCGAAAGAAUACUUGCUCAGG